This 253-nucleotide ribosomal RNA is filed under the name uncultured bacterium. RNAcentral describes it as "partial 16S ribosomal RNA". It matches the Rfam family "Bacterial small subunit ribosomal RNA", at positions 524 to 776 of the family's 1533-position model. The record is from RNAcentral.
UACGUAGGGUGCGAGCGUUGUCCGGAAUUAUUGGGCGUAAAGAGCUUGUAGGCGGUUUGUCGCGUCUGCUGUGAAAAUCCGGGGCUCAACCCCGGACUUGCAGUGGGUACGGGCAGACUAGAGUGUGGUAGGGGAGACUGGAAUUCCUGGUGUAGCGGUGAAAUGCGCAGAUAUCAGGAAGAACACCCGUGGCGAAGGCGGCUCUCUGGAACGCAACUGACGCUGAGACGCGAAAGCGUGGGGAGCAAACAGG